This 491-nucleotide ribosomal RNA is filed under the name uncultured archaeon. Its description in RNAcentral is "bacterial SSU rRNA". It matches the Rfam family "Archaeal small subunit ribosomal RNA", at positions 113 to 589 of the family's 1478-position model. The record is from RNAcentral.
CCUUAGGACUGAGACAAUCCCGGGAAACUGGGGCUAAUAUCAGAUGGAUGAGGACUCCUGGAAUGGUGCUUCGUCUAAAGGGCGUCGAAGACAUGCUUUCGAUGUUGCCUAAGGAUGGGACCGCGGCCGAUCAGGUUGUUGGUGGGGUAACGGCUCACCAAGCCUAUAACCGGUACGGGCCCUGAGAGGGGAAGCCCGGAGAUGGAACCUGAGACAAUGUUCCAGGCCUUAUGGGGCGCAGCAGGCGCGAAACCUCCACAAUACACGAAAGUGUGAUGGGGUUACCCCGAGUGCCUUCCUUAUAGGAGGGCUUUUCUCCGGUGUAAGGAGCCGGAGGAAUAAGGAGGGGGCAAGAUUGGUGUCAGCCGCCGCGGUAAUACCAACCCUCCGAGUUGUAGGGAUGAUUAUUUGGCUUAAAGCGUCCGUAGCUGGCUUGGAAAGUCUUCCGUUAAAUCCAGCGACUAAUCGUUGGGCUGCGGAAGAUACUGUCA